SRCAGUGGGGAAUUUUGGACAAUGGGGGCAACCCUGAUCCAGCCAUGCCGCGUGAGUGAAGAAGGCCUUCGGGUUGUAAAGCUCUUUCAGGUGGAAAGAAAUCACUACCCYKAAUACSGGUGGUGWAUGACGGUACCMUCAGAAKAAGCACCGGCUAACUWCGUGCCAGCAGCCGCGGUAAUACGUAGGGUGCGAGCGUUAAUCGGAAUUACUGGGCGUAAAGCGUGCGCAGGCGGUUGUGUAAGWCAGGUGUGAAAUCCCCGGGCUYAACCUGGGAACUGCRCUUGWGACUGCACAGCUAGAGURYGKCAGAGGGGGGUGGAAUUCCMCGUGUAGCRGUGAAAUGCGUAGAGAUGUGGAGGAACACCGAUGGCGAAGGCRGCCCCCUGGGCCUGYACUGACGCUCAKGCACGAAAGCGUGGGGAGCAAACAGGAUUAGAUACCCUGGUAGUCCACGCCCUAAACGAUGUSRACUAGUUGUUSGGAGAGGAAACUUUCUSRGUAACGCAGCUAACGCGUGAAGUCGACCGCCUGGG
This 536-nucleotide ribosomal RNA is filed under the name uncultured bacterium. RNAcentral describes it as "partial 16S ribosomal RNA". It matches the Rfam family "Bacterial small subunit ribosomal RNA", at positions 350 to 877 of the family's 1533-position model. The record is from RNAcentral.